Molecule: long non-coding RNA, 1200 nt
Organism: Xyrauchen texanus (razorback sucker)
Lineage: Eukaryota; Metazoa; Chordata; Actinopteri; Cypriniformes; Catostomidae
Exons: 9
Source: RefSeq, a predicted model, not a curated record
UAGAAUUGGAUGUUAAAUGCAUUUUGUUUCGAACUAGUACCAUUUGUCUUUUCCAGAUAACUAAAUCAAGUAUUUCUCAUCAAUAUCAAUUUGUAUACGGGGCAACCUCUUAUACUCUUCUUCUCGUACAGAAGACAAGAUGUUCUCCAGGAGCCAACAAUUACAGAGUUCCAAAACAGAUGGCCAGCACUGUUUGAUGACCGCAUGGAGUAUAUGCUUUUAACAACCGUUCCUCUGACUUCAAAAUUCACUGGACAACUGGACAGAUACACUGAUGACCUGAUCAAGGUUUUCCAUGCCAGAGGAAGAUCUGCAGGAAAGAAAAUCAGCACCAUAAUGGCACCGACAGCUAAUAAUGAAGACCUAUUCAUCAAGCACGAUUGUGUCCUGAGGAAUCUAAGUGUCUAUCUCAAUGAAGACAUGGAGACACUCGUCAAAGAAUAUGUGGAAGUAAACAACCCAGGACCUGAGGAGGCUGGGACAGAGAGGGCAGCCUGCCAUGUUGUGGCACCUAAAUGCCUCAACUACACCAAUUAAGACAAUUCUUCCAGGAACAGGAAGUUACUAGGACACCAGAAGGAGGACUCUGAUGAUGAAAACAGUGAUGUGGAGCUUUACAACCCUGCAUAAUUUGUCAUGGUCAUUUAAGAAAUAAUAAGAAUGGAUAUGGAGGACUGUCUGCAUAUGAACUGAAGUGCCUGGAGAACAUAAGACAGAAACAAGCCUUCCUGUCUUCCAUCAAGUUAUUGCAGGCAGCUGAGGAUCUGAAGCAGACAGUAAGGCUGAAGCCAUCUCAGUGAGGUCUUAUGAGGUCAAAGGCUGCUGUGACAGAUGUGGCGCCUCCUCGCAAGUCCUUGCAUCUCCAGUUGGACACCCUCCCACUUCCCCCUGAAUUCCAAGGAGUAUUGACCUAUGAACCUGCUUUUUGGAGGUGGUCCAAGGGUACAGUUCAAGGUUACUAUGACCCUUAUGUCCCAUAAUAAUCGCAUUCUCAUGAAUGCGAUUUCUCCGGAACGCCUCAAGGAUGUGAUGAUUCGACAUUGGUGGUCAAAGGUCAAGGUCCCUGUGACACAGCAAAUUUUUCCGUUUGUCCUCCAGGACAUCGAAUCCAGUGAGGCUGAGUUGGGGCAGACAACGAUGGGUAUCUACGCCAUUCGGGUAGAGGGUGCAGGUUCAGGAGACAGACAUUUUACUUGGUAC